GAUGAACGCUGGCGGCGUGCCUAAUACAUGCAAGUCGAGCGAACGGACGAGAAGCUUGCUUCUCUGAUGUUAGCGGCGGGCGGGUGAGUAACACGUGGAUAACCUACCUAUAAGACUGGGAUAACUUCGGGAAACCGGAGCUAAUACCGGAUGAUAUUUUGAACCGCAUGGUUCAAAAGUGAAAGACGGUCUUGCUGUCACUUAUAGAUGGAUCCGCGCUGCAUUAGCUAGUUGGUAAGGUAACGGCUUACCAAGGCAACGAUGCAUAGCCGACCUGAGAGGGUGAUCGGCCACACUGGAACUGAGACACGGUCCAGACUCCUACGGGAGGCAGCAGUAGGGAAUCUUCCGCAAUGGGCGAAAGCCUGACGGAGCAACGCCGCGUGAGUGAUGAAGGUCUUCGGAUCGUAAAACUCUGUUAUUAGGGAAGAACAUAUGUGUAAGUAACCGUGCACAUCUUGACGGUACCUAAUCAGAAAGCCACGGCUAACUACGUG
Molecule: ribosomal RNA, 497 nt
Filed under: uncultured bacterium
Lineage: Bacteria
Description: partial 16S ribosomal RNA
Rfam family: Bacterial small subunit ribosomal RNA
Source: RNAcentral